UCCCUGGUGGUCCAGAGGUUAAGACUCUGUGCUCUCACUGCAGGGGACCAGGGUUCGAUCCCUGAUUGGGGAA
This 73-nucleotide transfer RNA is filed under the name Bos taurus (domestic cattle). It matches the Rfam family "tRNA". Rfam says of the family: Transfer RNA (tRNA) molecules are approximately 80 nucleotides in length. Their secondary structure includes four short double-helical elements and three loops (D, anti-codon, and T loops). RNAcentral also lists the same sequence under 5 other names. Lineage: Eukaryota; Metazoa; Chordata; Mammalia; Artiodactyla; Bovidae. The record is from Rfam by way of RNAcentral.